CUCAGAAUCAACGCGGCNGGCGCGCUUAACACAUGCAAGUCGAACGAGAAAGGGGAGCAAUCCCUGAGUAAAGUGGCGUACGGGUGAGUAACACGUGGGUUAUCUACUCUUUAGUGGGGAAUACCGAUGGGAAACCGUCGACAAUACCGCAUAAGCCCGAGAGGGGAAAGUCGAAAGACGCUGAAGAAGGAGCCCGCGGUCGAUUAGCUAGUUGGUGAGGUAAUGGCUCACCAAGGCUUCGAUCGAUAGCCGGCCUGAGAGGGCACACGGCCACACUGGCACUGAAACACGGGCCAGACUCCUACGGGAGGCAGCAGUGGGGAAUCUUGCACAAUGGGGGAAACCCUGAUGCAGCGACGCCGCGUGAGUGAUGACGCCCUUCGGGGUGUAAAGCUCUUUCGGCAGGGACGAUAAUGACGGUACCUGCGGAAGAAGCUGCGGCUAACUACGUGCCAGCAGCCGCGGUAAUACGUAGGCAGCAAGCGUUGUUCGGAAUUACUGGGCGUAAAGGGUGUGUAGGCGGUGUGGUAAGUUUGGUGUGAAAUCUCCCGGCUUAACUGGGAGGGUGCGCCGAAGACUGCCACGCUCGAGGAUGGGAGAGGAAAGCGGAAUUCCUGGUGUAGCGGUGAAAUGCGUAGAUAUCAGGAGGAACACCUGCGGUGUAGACGGCUUUCUGGACCAUCCCUGACGCUGAAACACGAAAGCGUGGGUAGCAAACAGGAUUAGAUACCCUGGUAGUCCACGCCCUAAACGAUGCAUACUUGGUGUGAGCCAUUCACUUGGUUCGUGCCGGAGCUAACGCGUUAAGUAUGCCGCCUGGGGA
RNAcentral lists this ribosomal RNA (823 nucleotides) under uncultured bacterium. RNAcentral's name for it is "bacterial SSU rRNA". It matches the Rfam family "Bacterial small subunit ribosomal RNA", at positions 23 to 879 of the family's 1533-position model. The record is from RNAcentral.